RNAcentral lists this ribosomal RNA (373 nucleotides) under Pseudophryne guentheri (crawling toadlet). RNAcentral's name for it is "partial 16S ribosomal RNA". The record is from RNAcentral. Lineage: Eukaryota; Metazoa; Chordata; Amphibia; Anura; Myobatrachidae.
CAAAGCUUUUACAUCUCAUCAACUAAAUACCUCCCACCGAUCAAAACCCACACACACUAUUGAGUGAUUCCAUAUUUUAUGGAAGACCCUAUGCUAGAAUUAGUAAUCCGAAGAACCCCCUUCUCUACAACACAAGUGUAAAUCAGAACGGACACCCCCCUGAUAAUUAACGCCCAUGAAAAAAGAACAGUAACUUAACUAGAAAAUCCUGCUCUAUAAUCCGUUAACCUAACACAAGAGUGUUAAUAGAAAGAUUAAAAAGGACGGAAGGAACUCGGCAAAUACCAACCCCGCCUGUUUACCAAAAACAUCGCCUCUUGACAAGAUAAGAGGUCCAGCCUGCCCAGUGACUUAGUUCAACGGCCGCGGUAUC